CAGCAGCCACGGGAAUACGUAGGUGGCAAGCGUUGUCCGGAAUUAUUGGGCGUAAAGGGCUCGCAGGCGGUCUCUUAAGUCUGAUGUGAAAGCCCCCGGCUCAACCGGGGAGGGUCAUUGGAAACUGGGAAACUUGAGUGCAGAAGAGGAGAGUGGAAUUCCACGUGUAGCGGUGAAAUGCGUAGAGAUGUGGAGGAACACCAGUGGCGAAGGCGACUCUCUGGUCUGUAACUGACGCUGAGGAGCGAAAGCGUGGGGAGCGAACAGGAUUAGAUACCCCAGUAGUCCCUGUCUCUUAUAC
Molecule: ribosomal RNA, 301 nt
Filed under: uncultured bacterium
Lineage: Bacteria
Description: partial 16S ribosomal RNA
Rfam family: Bacterial small subunit ribosomal RNA
Source: RNAcentral